GGAAACCUCGGCUAAGCAAGGAAAAAAAUGGCAAAGACAAAGGAAGUUAGCUCGAGAAAAUACGGUUAAGUAAAGAUAGUACGUUGAAUCAGCAUCCCAGUCCGAUCCCGAAUUCAUUAAGGUAAAGUGUGUUAAUUAUUGGUAAUGGCAUGUACCUAGGAUGUCUUAUGUGAAUGUCAUUUUGAAAUUGUAAAUGUAAGGAUAAAAUAAAUAAAUUUAGAUUUGGCUAAUUUGGUAUGAAUUUGAAUUUUUGUGAGACAA
Molecule: long non-coding RNA, 261 nt
Organism: Gossypium arboreum
Lineage: Eukaryota; Viridiplantae; Streptophyta; Magnoliopsida; Malvales; Malvaceae
Exons: 2
Source: RefSeq, a predicted model, not a curated record